RNAcentral lists this ribosomal RNA (301 nucleotides) under uncultured bacterium. RNAcentral's name for it is "partial 16S ribosomal RNA". It matches the Rfam family "Bacterial small subunit ribosomal RNA", at positions 509 to 807 of the family's 1533-position model. The record is from RNAcentral.
CAGUAGCCGCGGGAAUACAGAGGGUGCAAGCGUUAAUCGGAGUUACUGGGCGUAAAGGGCGCGUAGGCGGUUAUAUAAGUGAGAUGUGAAAUCCCUGGGCUUAACCUAGGAACUGCAUCUUAUACUGUAUGGCUAGAGUAUUGUAGAGGGUAGUGGAAUUUCCGGUGUAGCGGUGAAAUGCGUAGAGAUCGGAAGGAACACCAGUGGCGAAGGCGGCUACCUGGACAAAUACUGACGCUGAGGCGCGAAAGCGUGGGGAGCAAACAGGAUUAGAUACCCGAGUAGUCCCUGUCUCUUAUAC